CCUACGGGACGCAGCAGUGGGGAAUAUUGCACAAUGGGGGAAACCCUGAUGCAGCGACGCCGCGUGAGUGAAGAAGUAUUUCGGUAUGUAAAGCUCUAUCAGCAGGGAAGAAGAAAGACGGUACCUGACUAAGAAGCCCCGGCUAACUACGUGCCAGCAGCCGCGGUAAUACGGAGGAUGCGAGCGUUAUCCGGAUUUAUUGGGUUUAAAGGGUGCGUAGGCGGUUUGUCAAGUCAGCGGUAAAAAUUCCGGGCUCAACCCGGUCCCGCCGUUGAAACUGGCGAACUCGAGAGGGAGAGAAGUAG
RNAcentral lists this ribosomal RNA (305 nucleotides) under uncultured bacterium. Its description in RNAcentral is "bacterial SSU rRNA". It matches the Rfam family "Bacterial small subunit ribosomal RNA", at positions 338 to 660 of the family's 1533-position model. The record is from RNAcentral.